CACUCCUGUGUCCCGUCUGGCUUUGCUGUGCUUUGUUUCAGGAAGGAAAGACAGCAGAGAUAGCUCCCCGCUCACCCCCACUUCUAUUUCCAGUCCAGGUCACAGGCUUCUCCUCCUCUCCUGGGACCGGUGCUGGUCAGCACCCAUCAGGGUUUAGAGAACGUUCUGAGCUUUCAACAGUUCUGUGAGGUGACUGCUGGGGAACCAUUGCUGAGUGGGACAAGGGAGACACACAGAAACGCAAGUGAGCGUUUGAAGUCAGGGUGCUUGCUGCGUUCUUCUAAGUCACCUGCUCUCUGUGUGGGGCCAUGUGAGGCCUCAGCGUCCCCUAAUGAGGGCAAUGCACCCUCUGGAUGGGCACCCUUCUGCUUCUGCUCCACUGGUACACCCCAAACAAAUGCUUUCUCUCAGUGUAGCUGUUCUUCUGGGAGAAGCUUCCCCCUUAUUCUUCCUGCUUCACCAACAUGGCAGGAUGGAGAUGCCAUGUUCUUCAUGGUCCUGCCCCCUGGCACUAGCCGAUUGGUCCAGGUGAGAAGCCAAGCCCAGCUAGCUCAGCUGGAACCCUUCCCCAGGACAUUGAACUUUGCACCAGAGAGUAUGUUGCCUCUUGGGCAACAAAGGCCACACAAGGUCAGACUUGCAAGGCUUCGUGGGCUGUAUUUCUUAUCACAUGGACAAGAUGGAUCUUCAGUGACGGAGAACAGAGCUGACCACAGAGAAAAGCAGGCAUGAGAGAUGGAGGAAACUGGG
Molecule: long non-coding RNA, 750 nt
Filed under: Equus caballus (horse)
Lineage: Eukaryota; Metazoa; Chordata; Mammalia; Perissodactyla; Equidae
Description: lncRNA (ENSECAG00000055370.1)
Source: RNAcentral